Molecule: ribosomal RNA, 401 nt
Filed under: uncultured bacterium
Lineage: Bacteria
Description: bacterial SSU rRNA
Rfam family: Bacterial small subunit ribosomal RNA
Source: RNAcentral
AUUGAACGCUGGCGGCAUGCCUUACACAUGCAAGUCGAACGGCAGCGCGGGAGCAAUCCUGGUGGCGAGUGGCGAACGGGUGAGUAAUAUAUCGGAACGUGCCCGGUCGUGGGGGAUAACGUAGCGAAAGCUACGCUAAUACCGCAUACGAUCUACGGAUGAAAGCGGGGGAUCGCAAGACCUCGCGCGAUUGGAGCGGCCGAUAUCAGAUUAGGUAGUUGGUGAGGUAAAGGCUCACCAAGCCGACGAUCUGUAGCUGGUCUGAGAGGACGACCAGCCACACUGGGACUGAGACACGGCCCAGACUCCUACGGGAGGCAGCAGUGGGGAAUUUUGGACAAUGGGCGCAAGCCUGAUCCAGCAAUGCCGCGUGCAGGAUGAAGGCCUCGGUUGUAACGUAG